This 497-nucleotide ribosomal RNA is filed under the name uncultured bacterium. RNAcentral's name for it is "partial 16S ribosomal RNA". It matches the Rfam family "Bacterial small subunit ribosomal RNA", at positions 28 to 507 of the family's 1533-position model. The record is from RNAcentral.
GAUGAACGCUGGCGGCGUGCCUAAUACAUGCAAGUCGAGCGAACAGACGAGGAGCUUGCUCCUCUGACGUUAGCGGCGGACGGGUGAGUAACACGUGGAUAACCUACCUAUAAGACUGGGAUAACUUCGGGAAACCGGAGCUAAUACCGGAUAAUAUAUUGAACCGCAUGGUUCAAUAGUGAAAGACGGUUUUGCUGUCACUUAUAGAUGGAUCCGCGCCGCAUUAGCUAGUUGGUAAGGUAACGGCUUACCAAGGCGACGAUGCGUAGCCGACCUGAGAGGGUGAUCGGCCACCCUGGAACUGAGACACGGUCCAGACUCCUACGGGAGGCAGCAGUAGGGAAUCUUCCGCAAUGGGCGAAAGCCUGACGGAGCAACGCCGCGUGAGUGAUGAAGGUCUUCGGAUCGUAAAACUCUGUUAUUAGGGAAGAACCAAUGUGUAAGUAACUAUGCACGGCUUGACGGUAACUAAUCAGAAAGCCACGGCUAACUACGUG